UCCAGAGUGGUGUAAUGGUAACAUCCCUACUUAGGUGACGCAUGGUAGAAUCUUAGAAGGUGGUAAACCAUGCCCUUCGGGGGCCAGGGGGGAACCGGGUUCGAUUCCUGGCUCUGGAA
This is a non-coding RNA of Nemania sp. FL0916, 119 nucleotides long. The record is from the annotation of a GenBank genome assembly. Lineage: Eukaryota; Fungi; Ascomycota; Sordariomycetes; Xylariales; Xylariaceae.